Molecule: ribosomal RNA, 772 nt
Filed under: uncultured bacterium
Lineage: Bacteria
Description: bacterial SSU rRNA
Rfam family: Bacterial small subunit ribosomal RNA
Source: RNAcentral
AGUCGAACGGUAACAGAUCUUCGGAUGCUGACGAGUGGCGAACGGGUGAGUAAUACAUCGGAACGUGCCCGAUCGUGGGGGAUAACGCAGCGAAAGCUGUGCUAAUACCGCAUACGAUCUAUGGAUGAAAGCGGGGGAUCGCAAGACCUCGCGCGAUUGGAGCGGCCGAUAUCAGAUUAGCUAGUUGGUGGGGUAAAAGCUCACCAAGGCGACGAUCUGUAGCUGGUCUGAGAGGACGACCAGCCACACUGGAACUGAGACACGGUCCAGACUCCUACGGGAGGCAGCAGUGGGGAAUUUUGGACAAUGGGCGAAAGCCUGAUCCAGCAAUGCCGCGUGCAGGAUGAAGGCCUUCGGGUUGUAAACUGCUUUUGUACGGAGCGAAACGGUUAUCUCUAAUAAAGAUGGCUAAUGACGGUACCGUGAGAAUAAGCACCGGCUAACUACGUGCCAGCAGCCGCGGUAAUACGUAGGGUGCGAGCGUUAAUCGGAAUUACUGGGCGUAAAGCGUGCGCAGGCGGUUUUGUAAGACAGAUGUGAAAUCCCCGGGCUCAACCUGGGACCUGCAUUUGUGACUGCAAAGCUAGAGUACGGUAGAGGGGGAUGGAAUUCCGCGUGUAGCAGUGAAAUGCGUAGAUAUGCGGAGGAACACCGAUGGCGAAGGCAAUCCCCUGGACCUGUACUGACGCUCAUGCACGAAAGCGUGGGGAGCAAACAGGAUUAGAUACCCUGGUAGUCCACGCCCUAAACGAUGUCAACUGGUUGUUGGGUC